CCUACGGGGGGCUGCAGUGGGGAAUUUUGGACAAUGGGCGCAAGCCUGAUCCAGCCAUUCCGCGUGAGUGAAGAAGGCCUUCGGGUUGUAAAGCUCUUUCGCAAGGGAAGAAAACUUAUCCUCUAACAUAGGAUGAGGUUGACGGUACCUUGAUAAGAAGCACCGGCUAACUACGUGCCAGCAGCCGCGGUAAUACGUAGGGUACGAGCGGGCAUCGGAAGUACUGGGGGUAGUUUGUAAGUAGGAUGUUCAAUCCCCGAGCUCAACUUGGGAACUGCGUUUGAAACUACAAGACUAGAAUAGGUCAGAGGGGGGUAGAAUUCCACGUGUAGCAGUGAAAUGCGUAGAGAUGUGGAGGAAUAUCAAUGGCGAAGGCAGCCCCCUGGGAUCAUAUUGACGCUCAUGCACGAAAGCGUGGGGAGCAAACAGGAUUAGAUACCCGGGUAGUC
RNAcentral lists this ribosomal RNA (449 nucleotides) under uncultured bacterium. RNAcentral describes it as "partial 16S ribosomal RNA". It matches the Rfam family "Bacterial small subunit ribosomal RNA", at positions 338 to 795 of the family's 1533-position model. The record is from RNAcentral.